Molecule: long non-coding RNA, 6059 nt
Filed under: Brassica rapa (field mustard)
Lineage: Eukaryota; Viridiplantae; Streptophyta; Magnoliopsida; Brassicales; Brassicaceae
Description: long non-coding RNA (BRAP_LNC000569)
Source: RNAcentral
GUUUGUUGUAGGAAAUAUUGAACAAAUGGAUUAACAAUAUUAUUUUUUUUCAACUAACUUUCUUUUGUAGAAAGAGCCCAAAGGGCUUUUACAUGGUUUCAGAUACAUUGAAGGGUCCAUUAGGAAAACAACAUAAUAUAACAUUUAAAGCCCAAUAAAGAGAAAACAGUCUAAAUCUAAAAAGCCCUAACAGAUUCAUCUUCAAUCAACACGUGUCUUCCAUUUUCGAGCAACAGAAUUCCAACGCCGUGAGUAGGACGCUGCCGUAAGGAUUCUGUUCUCUCUACAUCGAAAAACAAUACGCACCGAUUCAAUGGAUCUGAAAAAUACUCUCCUUCGCGCCUCUGCUCCUUCAAUUUCCGUUCUCUUCCUUUGGAUGUGAAAAGCUCCAAAUACCUUCAAAUCGAUUUAGAACCAACUAUUGUCAAAACAUUUGCUAAAAGCAAACUUUGACUCUUCUUAAGUUGACCCACAAACCGUGGAGGAUAAUCUGUAAAACCCAAAACUCUUGUCCUUCUGAAUACUUUGCCAAGAUUUAUAACAGCAAAGAUUGAUUUCAUCCAGAAAAAGAGAUUGAGGAUGACCAUCGGAAAAAGAUGAAAACCAAGAAACAGCCGGAAUAUUUAUUAACCCAGAGAGUAUUAGAAGAUUAUUCACAAACACAACAAAAGUAUCGCAAAGCGAAGAUUUUAAGUCGGCUAAACCGAAGCAUACAUCCGCAAACGGAAAGGAAAAUCGAACUAAGCCGAAGGUCCGAUCAAAUAUUUACAUACAAAAAAACAAAAGGAGAAAAAGGUAACCAGCGGUGGUGAAACCACCGGCCCCUAAACGCUAUUUGUUUUCUUUGAAAGUUCUUAGAGAGAGGUUAGAGAAAAAGUAGAGAGAUAAUGGAUUAACAGUAUUAAAGCCCAAUAAAACCACACUCUCCCGUAAAAGAAAAAAAACGAAGCACAGUCUCGCGUAAAAGAAAAAAGUGAAGCUCCCUCCGUCUUUGACACGUGGCGGCAAAAGGAACAGGAUGUGCUGAGGUGGCACUCUAAGGAGAGUUUCUCGGCAACUUUAUUAAGAUAGAUAUAUGUUUUUUUGCUUAACUCUCUUUAUAUUCUUGUUGUGAUACGUAAGGUCCGGCCAUUGUGUUAUUUAACCGAGAGAUUCUUAUAUACAUGUAGGGAAAAUAUCAUUUUAAAUCCUGAGAAUGUCACAUUCUCGCACUUUAAACACUGAACAUUUUUUACUAACACUUUAAACCUUGAAAUUGACAUUUUUAUCAUAACAAACCUCCAAGUCAACUAGGUGACAUGUACUGUUUAUUUUGUGAUGACGUGUCGAUUUUUUCAAUUUCUUUUUUUCUUUCUUUUAAAUAAAAAAUAAAAUACACAGAAAAUUAAAAAGAAAUUUAAAAAAAUUUAAAAAAUCAAAAUGUCGAAAAAACGAAAAAUAUUCAAAAAAUCUAAAAUUUCAAAAAAAAUAUAAAAAACAACAUUUCAAAAUUAAAAAUAAAAGAAAUAUGUUUAAAAAUUAAUCCAAUUAUAAACCAAUAUAAGUAUAUAUAAAAUAAUAAGUUGAAUGGUGAUUCUAGAUUUUGGUUUUCGGUUUUUGAUUUUUAAAAAAAAAAUUGAUUUAUUAAUACUUAACUUGUUAAAUUUUCAAAAUUAAUCCUAUUAUUUGUAUUAUUUAUUAAAGUGAUAUUUAUUUUAGUAAUUUUAAGUUUGUUUAAAAAGAAAUUAACUUAUAAGUGAAGUUCUUAAAAUAGUAAAUAACUUUGAAAUUAAAUAAAUAAUUAAUCAAACUUUAGAGAAACUAAAAUAUAUGUUACUUAUCUAAGAAGCUCCACUCAUACCAAAACCUAACAUAUACAAAUCUAAAGGCAUAGCUCUCUAUCUCUUAAUUAUAUUUCAAACUAACUUAUAGUAUUUUAGUUAAGGUCAAAAACAUUUUAAGUGGUCUAUGAGAUAAUUUCUAGUUUCACAAAAUUUAAUAAGUUAAGUAUUAAUAAAUCAAAAAUUAAAAAAAAAAUCAAAAACCAAAAAAAAAAAAGAAUCUAGUAUCACCAUUCAAGUUAUUAUAUAUAUAUAUAUAUAUUUAUUGGUGUAUAAUUGGAUUAAUUUUUUAAAAAAUAUUUUAUUUUAUUUUUAAUUCUGAAAUGUUAUUUUUAUAUUUUUUGAAUUUUUCAAAAAAAUCAAUUUUUUUGAAUUUUCUAUGUAUUUUAUUUAUUUAUUUUUUAAGAAAAAAGAAAAAAAAGAAACCGACACGUCAUCACAAAAUGAACAGUACAGAUCAACUAGUUGACUUGGUAAGGUUUGUUAUGAUAAAAAUAUCACUUUCAAAGUUUAAAGUGCAAGUUAAAAACGUUCAGUGUUUAAAAUACGAGAAUGUGACACUUUCAGGAUUUUUUUUUAUCAAACCAACUUGUAUUAAAUUCAGAAGAGUUUAAGCUCCAUUAAGGGAGAGUACAACAAAGCUACAAAGAGCCCAAUGGAAUACGAAACAGAUAAACCUAAGAUAGAAUGAAAAUACAAAUCAUAACAAGUAAACAUUAGAAAUCGCAUCACAACGGUUUCAUGAGUAUCUUGAACGAUUGCAUCUCGGGUAACUCUGAGAGUCACAACCACUGCACUAAAGGAAGGGAAGAGCGUUAGCCGGGAGGAGAAUCCUUACAAUACCAGCCACACAUGUUCAUCUAAUUCACUCCAUACAUGAGGAAAUAUUGGGAAAAGAGACUGCUCCAAACAGGAGGCAAGCGGAUAAUCAAUACCCACCAUUACCAUAUUCACCAAGCAACAAAUCACAAUGAUUGUCUCUUUCAACUGCCACCAAGAAGAGAAACACACAGACGCUGCACCACAAACCAAGUUGAAUACAAUAAUAGGACUGCAUACUGCAGUAGAGAGUUGCAUCAACGCAACAUAAAAACCACUAAAAGGCACAAAGAUAUAACCAAAGGACACUGAGUCCAUCAGUACACUACCAAAUAAAGCCAAAAACCACAACUCCAGAGUCACCUACAUAUCUAGCAUUGCAUCCUUUUCAAAAGAAUAGGAGUAAACAGAGAGUAAGGAGCUAAGGUGGACCUGGACGUCUAUAAGCGGAUGGAUAAAAUGAAAGCUGGAAUAAGAGCCGGGAGAAGACCCAUUCCCGAGCUGACAAAGAUACAACCUGUGUACCACAGGAGAAGAACGCCAGUUGACAAAGAUAGUGUCACCAGUGAACACAAGAACAGCACCAUCAUCACUGACUUACUUGAAACCCUUGAAUAGUUAAACAUCAGAUCUAGGACUUGAGUAGCUUGUGGAGAAGAGCUGGAGGAAGUGAAAAGAACGAGGCUGACGGAGACGUCUGGUGGGUCUGGAGGUUCUGGUGGCUUGACCGGAGGAGUUUCAAUCGGAAGAUGCUUGUUCCGUGCCGGAUCUGAAGGAGGCCUGGGCUGUGAAAGAGGAGGAAGGGCUGUCACCAUCAUCUUCAAGGAGGAGGAGCAGUGCUGCAUCAAGCCAAGGAACGACGGCGGCGGCGGAUCUGGAGGGGGGCGGAGACACGACGGAGGAAUAGUCACCAUCAUGGCCAUGGAGAGGAGCAGGGCUGUUUCAGAGAGUGGAGGAAAGAGUGGCGUGGUUAGAGCAAGGAAGAUCCAUCGAAACGGCGCCUCGGGAUGCGGGCUCGAGAGAGUUUCUCUCUAGGGCGAACUAUGUGACACUCUGAGGGUUUAAAAUACGAUUUUCCUAUAUAUAUAUAUAUAUAACUGUUUCAAAUAGCGUCAAUUUGAAAAAAAGUGAAGAGAUUUGUCUUUUUCGUGUAAUUUAAAUAUUUAGAUUGAUUAAUCCUCAUUCUUUUUUCUUUGAUUGCAAUGUAUACUAGAACAAGGUUAAGAUCCGCACCUUGCGCGGGAUGAACAUUAUACAUAUAAAUUAUUUUAUAUAUUAUAUGUUUAUAGCAUAUUAUGAAAUAAUAAAUAUAUAUUGAAUAAUUAAAAAGUCAUUAUCUACUACUUAUAUAAUUAAAUUGGUGCGACCAUAUAAAUAAAUUUAAUAAAUCAAAAAAUUAUUUUUUCUAUUUGAUAUGAUAUAUAAUUAAAUUUAAAUGAUAGUAACAUAUAUAUGGUAUAUGUUAAUAUUAAUAUUUAUUGGAUGAUGCUUUUUGCUCAGAUUUGUUUUUUUAUCAUUUGUAUCUCUUAUAGCAAAAAAUUUAAAUUAGUGAUAACAAAAUUUUCACUGUGAAAAUAACGGUUUAAGUAAUUUAUAAUAUUUAUGAAAAUUAAGUUGUCAAUAUUUUUUCAAAAUUUUUAUCAAAAAAAUGUUCAAAGUAAAUUUCAAAAUUACGAUAUUUAUGUAUUUUUAUAUGGCAUAUAGUUCAAUUUAAAAUGAUACAUAUAUUUAUAUAUAUUUUAUUUUUGAUACUUAUUAAAUGAGACUUUCAAGUUAUAUUAUUUUUCAAUUAUUUGUAUCAUGUCGUAACAAAAGUUUUAAAUCAUAGAUCAUAAAAUUUGAAUGUGAAACUUUUAACAGUUUUAGUAAUUUAUUAUUAUUUUUAAAAAUUCAAAAUAUAAUAUAUAAAUCAUUUUUUAAAUUUUUAUUAUAUGGUUACUAUGAUUGUUUAAUUUAUUUUAAUAGCUUAAAAUUAAACAAAUAUAAUUAUAAUACACACUUAUUUUUAUCAAAUCUUUAUUAUUCAAAAUCAUUAAUUGUCAUAUAUACUUUAGUCACAUUAGGCAAUUCCGUAAUCUUAUUUAAGAAAAUAAUGAAUCAUAUUAAUAAUGUAUUUAUUGUGGUUUAAUAAAAAGCUUAUUAUAUAUUUAAAUGGACCAACGUAUUUCUCUAAGGAUUCUAAAAAUUAUUCAAGUGAUGAUACGUGGCUACAAAAAAUUGUUGCAAUGCUUCUCAAAUAAUAUAUAGGGGAUAUUCACUGCUAUGCUUCUGCGUAAAUAUUAAAGCAUCGUUAGUCACGAUUGAAGUAAUCACGAUUGAAGUAAAAACAACAUGGAAUAGAUAAUGAAAGAGAGAUAGAUAGUGUUUGUUCAUUAGGCAAAAAAUGAUUCCAUGUUUAGAUCUAAGACAUAAAGACAAAGGGAAUCAAAUCCCCUAUAUAUUAUUUGAGUAGGACGCUGCCGAAAGGAUUCUGUUCUCUCUACAUCGAAAAACGAUACGCACCGAUUCAAUGGAUCUGAAAAAUACUCUCCUUCGCGCCUCUGCUCCUUCAAUUUCCGUUCUCUUCCUUUGGAUGUGAAAAGCUCCAAAUACCUUCAAAUCGAUUUAGAACCAACUAUUGUCAAAACAUUUGCUAAAAGCAAACUUUGACUCUUCUUAAGUUGACCCACAAACCGUGGAGGAUAAUCUGUAAAACCCAAAACUCUUGUCCUUCUGAAUACUUUGCCAAGAUUUAUAACAGCAAAGAUUGAUUUCAUCCAGAAAAAGAGAUUGAGGAUGACCAUCGGAAAAAGAUGAAAACCAAGAAACAGCCGGAAUAUUUAUUAACCCAGAGAGUAUUAGAAGAUUAUUCACAAACACAACAAAAGUAUCGCAAAGCGAAGAUUUUAAGUCGGCUAAACCGAAGCAUACAUCCGCAAACGGAAAGGAAAAUCGAACUAAGCCGAAGGUCCGAUCAAAUAUUUACAUACAAAAAAACAAAAGGAGAAAAAGGUAACCAGCGGUGGUGAAACCACCGGCCCCUAAACGCUAUUUGUUUUCUUUGAAAGUUCUUAGAGAGAGGUUAGAGAAAAAGUAGAGAGAUAAUGGAUUAACAGUAUUAAAGCCCAAUAAAACCACACUCUCCCGUAAAAGAAAAAAAACGAAGCACAGUCUCGCGUAAAAGAAAAAAGUGAAGCUCCCUCCGUCUUUGACACGUGGCGGCAAAAGGAACAGGAUGUGCUGAGGUGGCACUCUAAGGAGAGUUUCUCGGCAACUUUAUUAAGAUAGAUAUAUGUUUUUUUGCUUAACUCUCUUUAUAUUCUUGUUGUGAUACGUAAGGUCCGGCCAUUGUGUUAUUUAACCGAGAGAUUCUUAUAUACAUGUAGGGAAAAUAUCAUUUUAAAUCCUGAGAAUGUCACAUUCUCGCACUUUAAACACUGA